RNAcentral lists this ribosomal RNA (315 nucleotides) under Candidatus Azambacteria bacterium. RNAcentral describes it as "bacterial SSU rRNA". It matches the Rfam family "Bacterial small subunit ribosomal RNA", at positions 1207 to 1533 of the family's 1533-position model. The record is from RNAcentral. Lineage: Bacteria; Candidatus Azamiibacteriota.
CCCUGGGCUACACACGUGCUACAAUGGAAAGUACAAUGGGUCGCCAACCCGCAAGGGGGAGCCAAUCCCAUCAAAACUUUCCCCAGUUCAGAUUGGGGGCUGCAACUCGCCCCCAUGAAGUAGGAAUCGCUAGUAAUCGCGGAUCAGCAUGCCGCGGUGAAUACGUUCUCGAGUCUUGUACUCACCGCCCGUCAUACCAAGGGAGCCGGGAGUGGCUGAAGUUCGACGUUACGUCGGAACACGCCAAGCUCGGUAAAAAGGGUGAAGUGGUAACAAGGCAUCCGUAGCGGAAGCUGCGGAUGGAUCAUCUCCUUU